RNAcentral lists this long non-coding RNA (322 nucleotides) under Setaria viridis. RNAcentral describes it as "long non-coding RNA (SVIR_LNC008727)". The record is from RNAcentral. Lineage: Eukaryota; Viridiplantae; Streptophyta; Magnoliopsida; Poales; Poaceae.
GGGGAAGUUAUGUUAUUAUAAUAGACGGGAGCAAUGCUAAAAUAAAAAAACAAUUUUGUUUAGUAGUGAACUGAAAAUAACUAACAUUACGUCACACAAAUAUAAUUCUCUUAUUCCAUAUGGAUGAAGUAAACUAUGAUAUGUUGAACAAACAAAACCUAUCUCUGCUACUACGUCAACCUCAUAUCCAUGAGGUUGUGCUAUAGCAACUUUAAGAGGCUCGAAAGCAACACGUAGCAACAAAUGAAUGCAGAUGUCUGAACUCCUUCAAUUGAUGGGUUCUGUAAGGAAAAUGGCCCUAGGCCAUUAUGAUUUUGGUGAU